Long non-coding RNA from Leptonychotes weddellii (Weddell seal), 1438 nucleotides. RefSeq lists it as uncharacterized. The record is from RefSeq and is a predicted model, not a curated record. Lineage: Eukaryota; Metazoa; Chordata; Mammalia; Carnivora; Phocidae.
CUGUCUCGAUAUCCAGCCACCAGUCUGUGUUAAACCCAAGCUAUAUGGAAAGGCCAUUCUAGUUAACAGCUGCAGACGAGCUCUCAACUGUCAGCCAGCAUUAACUGUCAACCAUGUGGGAAGCUGUUUUGGAAGUCCAGCCUAGUGGAGCCUUCAGAUGAUGUCAGCUUAGUCAUUAGAGAUGGCACCUGCGUGAAAGACAUCAGAUCAUGUAGCAGACUAACAGGAAUGCAGCUGGAGCUCAAGAACCAAGACACAAGAAUCAGAGGAGCUGAAUCAGUGCUGGUACAAGAAGAUAGGUCUUUAUAACUUCAAUUGCAUGUUGAAAGAAGCCCAAAUCACACAGACAGACCACAUGGAGGACUGCGGAGGUCAUCUGUUGACAGCCUUAGAUGAGCUCCAAGCUACCAAACCAGCAUUAACUGCCAAUCCUGUGAACAAGUGAUCUUGGAUGUUCCAACCAGCCAAAGCAGGCAUGAUGAUAUAAAGGGAAGAAACUGUUGUAUGACAUCCAGCACUGACAUGAUGAACGCUGCUCCAGAUGACAUUGAACUUGGGACUGAAGAGACUAUGCAUUAUGCAUGGCACUUUGCCAAUCUGUACCAUAUAAACUGCUAUCAUAGACAGGGCAAGGGGAAGAGGAAUCAGAUCUAUACUGAAUACAAUGGCAUCCUGGGCUGAUGCCAAGCCAAAUGAUCAGGCUAGAUUCAAGUUGACAGUUUACUUGGAUGUAUUGGUCAGCUUGGGCUGCCGUACCAAAGUGCCGUGGACUGAGUGGCUUAAACAACAAUAAUUUCUCAUAGUUCCGGGACUGGGAAAGUCCACGACCAGGGUGCCGAUUAGAAGAUGAUGGAAAAAUGAAGUUGAAUUGAUCAUUGUUUCUACCUUCAAGGAUGUUAUAGUCUACUAGAAAAAAUAUAGGUAAUAGAUGAAUAACGAGAGAGGGAAUGAUUAUGAACAUACGAAUUCAGAGGAGGAAGUGAUGAUUGUUGUUUCAUUUGUGGAAACAGAAGAAGGAUUUCCAGCAUAGAGGUAUUUGUACUGCUGCCUGAGGGAUGAAUGAGAGUUGAGCAAAUGGAAAACAUAGAGGUAGGUAUUCUGGGCAGAAGAGCCAAGGCCCAGACGAAAGAAAUAACAUAGCCAUUUGCUCCCUAAAUAGAUUGGAAAGACAGGACUGGAAAAGAACAUAGAAAAUACUGGCUGUCACUUAGAUUUUAGACGUUCUGAAGAUCUUGGGAGAUCUGAAAUAGGGGAGGAGACGGUAGAAAGUUAUGUUGUAUAGUAGAAUUGUAGAUUUUACAAUGUCUUAGGAGGCAAGGAACUAGCAGUCACCUUUGAGUCCAUAAUUUUUAUCUUGGGUGUUGGGGAGAAUAAUGUUCUUAGAAAGAGGAGCUAUGAGGUUUGGAGCAAGGUGUUUUGGUUUUUUUAAAGAUUUUAU